AACUAUCAUAGCUGAAUUUUAAAAGAGGAUACACCUCUUUUCCCAAACCUGCAAACUCUGAAGCUGAUCUUCUUAACUCUUCAAUUGCACGUCUCCAAUGCUCCGCUUUCUUUCUGUAGGCCAUAGCUCGACCAAUAGUAUUGAGCUUUAAGCCUCUGUAUGACGUAUUUGAUUUCCCCUUUGUUGUGAUUUAAAUAAUAAUAUUGCUGCGGAAAGCCUUUGGUCCGAGUGAAUGAAUAGCAUGACUCUUGAAUAAAACUACAGAUUUUAAUUAAGAUGGGUAUGAAGAUAAGUACUAUUAAUGGAAAAACUAGAGAAUGAAAUUCUUGGAAAUUAAAAAAAAAAAUUCAAUUCUUCCCCAAAAAAAUUAAAUUAUGAGGUUGAUAAUAAAAAAAUUUACAAUAGCUUUCAAUAUUUUUAAGUUAUUAAAUUUCUGCAAAAAUGAAUGAAAAAAAAAAUUACUUUGUUGGUCCGUUGGAUAUGACUUAAAGUAAGAAAUGGAGUUUGAUUACAUAUAAGGAGCUAAAUAAUUGAUUUUACCUUAAAAAAAAAUAAAAAAAAAAGAGCAUUUCUUUGUUGUCGUAUUUUUCUAAUAGUAUUUAAAAAAAAUUAAAGGCUGCAAAUGACAAUAAAAUAUUCUUUAUUAUUCUUUUUUCUUAUAAAAAAAAAAGUUAAUAGUGAUAUCUCUUUCCUAUUUUACCCUCGCAAACUAAUAAAAUUUGCUAAUCCAAUACCCUAUUAAAACCCGCACUUUCGCUUUCCCUCUUCCAUUUUGGCGCGCGAUCUCUCUAAAUCCAUGGAAAUAAACCGUUAAUUGUGGCAUGUUAUGGCUGAAAAUUUUGCAUCUGACCUGUCGCUUGUUCCUCUCGAAAUGUGAAAUCUUCUAAUUUUGAUUUUUGAGACAAAUUUGAAUUGAGUUCUUCUGAUUCGAUGUGUCGAUCUCUUGUUAUACAAUUCGUACGUGUGAUAGAAUGCUGUGCUUCACUUCCUUGGCGUAUAAUUGCAAAUGUUUUUUUUUCUUAAUGGUUAAUUAGUUUUUUAUUGAGGCUUGGUUUGUUUGCGCAUGCCAUUUGUUUGCUUUCGUGCCCUCAUUUCAUUUGAGUUCAAAUGUUCUCCUUAUUCAUUUUGCGUGUCUCCAUUUUGUUUCCUGUUUACAAAGGAGAUGAAGAGUUAAGUUUGAAUUUACAAUUAGCUGCUGUCCUGUCAAGUAUAGUAAAUCAUGGAACUUCCCCUAAGGAGGCAAUUCACCAAGAUGGCUUUCAGAGUUUUAAGUUGAAUAUUCUUACUGCAUUUUAUUUGGCUGCAUGUAUUAGGAUCAUUUACUUAAAACUUUUUGUUGUAGAGGUAGACGGAAUAUUGGCUUGGUGUGUGAUGAGGUGGUGAUGCAAAGACUUUAAAUCGAAAGAAAUGCCUGUAACUUUGCAAGAUGAUUAUAGACCCGUGAAUUAACCGGCCAGACUACAAGAAAGCUUUCCAUAACAAAUGAGGGACCUGUACUGAUUUUCAUCAAUAAAUAUUACAGUUGAGGAAAAAAUGCAAUGCCAUUUGUGCUUGGAGAAAUACACUGCAUCUGAUUUGUUUAGUCUUCUUGAAUGUUUUUGUGCAAAGUUCUAAUUGCUUAAAUGUUUCUGUAAGGUGCACUAUAUUAAACAUUUUCUCAAGUUAAGGAGGAAAAGCAUGUGUUCUUUUCAAAUUUCAAGCCAUUUUGCAGUUUUUAGCUUUCUAGGAUACUGUUUGAAGUAUUAGCUUGUAAGAUCGACAUCUAAUGUUUUUCUUGUCUAUAAAUAUCUUAAUACUCUUCUUUUCUCUCCUUGUAGCGCUUUCAACUAUUUUACUGAUAAGUGAGGAUAGAGACAGAGGGAUGAAGUUCAAAGCAUUUCUCACAGAGAAUGGAGUAAAUCUCUUAGAAAAAAGAUUCCUACUUGUCCUAGACAAAAUGGGGAAGGUAUGCCACCUCUUCCUUACUAGAGAGAAAGCUUACUUCCUCCACAACCUUCUCAGUGGUGAAGGGAUUCAAUGUGUUGCCCAGUUUCACAAGGAAACUCUCUUUGAUGAUUACCGCAUCUCAAGUCAAAAUGAGGACUGCAUUGCCUUUGCCAUAGACAUAUCUCUUCUUCAGCGUGCUGUUUGAAGUAGUGUCAGUAUUUGCUCUGAAAUUGGUGCAGCUGGAUCCGCUGCCAAUUGCCUCCAAAUAAAAUUGGUGAAGAAGCUGCCUCCAAAUUGUACUCAAGCAAUGCCUUUCCUUACCUUGGAAACCAAGGGGUACAAGUCUGCAGUAAUCCAAGAUGUUCCAAUUUCAAAACCAUUGUCAAGGGCUCAAGUACUUGAACUUCAGACUGCUUUAGAUAUGGCUCAAGAUUUACCUCCGACUCUGGUUCAGGUUCCGGAUUUGAAUCAGCUGUAGAAUUUCGUAGACUGGAUGAAGCAUGUUGGUGAUUUGGUAAAUGUCUCCAUUUGCAAAUACGGGGAUCUCCAUUUACAAAUAUCAACAACUCUGAUCACACUAGGUGCUGAGUUUCGAAAAUUGUUGGUUAUUGGAGAGAAAGCUGUAGCUCCAUCUGAGGACCGAAAUUUGAGUGCUCAGACUCGAUCAGAGAGGGGGCAAUAUCCAGAGGGGAUGCUCAAUCUGUGCAAGUGAGCAUGAAGCACUUUUCAAAAAGCCUCCACUGUCACUUUGCAAAGCCGGAUUGUGCAUUCUAUGGUAUUGCUCCACAGGUUGCUUGCUUGACGGGGAUAUUCCAGUUCUUCAUUCCUGGCACACGUCAAACUGAUAAAUCAAUUUUGGGCCAAGCCGAAAUAGCAUUGACUGCUGCCUCCUCACUUUUCAUUCGUCAAUUUCCGAAUAGCAUGGCUUUUCGGAAUGUGUUCUAUGCAUAUGCGUUGUGCUGGGUCCAAUGAAAUUAGGUAUAUUAUUUAUUUAUAUGGAAAUUUUUUAAUAGAAAAGAUAUACAGAAGAUUUUUCUAGAAAAAUUUAAAUUUAAAGACUGUGUUGUAAAAGUGCAUAUAUUAUUUAUUUAUAUGAAGAUUUUUUAAUAUAAAUCCAAACUUUUAAAAAUUUAAUUAUUUAGAAAUUUAAGAGUUAAUAUAUAUUGUGGCGGGCCUAGGCAACUACUUUAAGCAUUAUUUGAUAUUGCGAUUGGGCAUGCAGCUGUAACUUAAAACUACGUCACCUACUUCAUUCUACACUUUUAUAACAAGAAACUUGUAAUACCAAUAGAUAAUUUGGCCAAUUUAGGUGUUGCGGUGGAUUCUUUUACUUGAUCGGUCUCAUGUUGCUUCUCUUUUGCAUAAGGUUGUUUUUAGGCGCCUGACUUUUAGUUCAUCUAGCUUUUAGGCUGCCCGACUUUCAGUUCUUGUUAUAUUUUUAUUUUGAUUUUGAUAAAAUCUCCUCACUUUGGUGAGGAUUUAUCCCCCAAUAAUAAUAAUAAUAAUAAUAAUAAUAAAAUAUCACCUGUCCUAAUUUUUAGCAAUCUCACCCUCAUUCAUUGAGGGGCUUAGCUGCGUAGGACUUGACCAGACAAAAAUAAUUGGGUCAACUUUGAAACGUUUGACCAAAAUCCCACUUGAAAUGAAAGUCUGUUUUAAGUGUCCAAUUAGGUGAAAUUUGGCUAUAAUGGUUUUAACGAAGGACUACUUCCUUUAUUUCACGUUGAAAAAGAACUUAACAAUAACUAACGUGUGGUGCUAGCUUUUAGUAGUACAACUGUACAAGAUCUUUCCAAUGUCAUGCUACAUAGAAAAGUGUUGAAACUUGAAAAUUAAUUGAGAAUGGAAAUUAAAUCAUCAUCUUGGGGAAGACAUAAUUAAGCAAAAACUUAUACCAUUAACAAUGAGUCUCAUUUGCACCACUUUCUACCCACCAUUGACUUUUGGAACGAAAUGACAUUUUUAUGGAAACCCUAAAAGCUCCCGAUAGUUUUUGGUGAUGAUAGCAAGAUCUUUGCAGCAUGGGAUGGCUUUUAUUUAUGUGAAAUAUUUCUAUAAUAAUUUAUAACUCUUUCUUUUGAGUGUUUUCUUAAAAUUUAACUGAAGUCCUCUCUGUAAUAAAGUUGGUGUUUGGUGCACUACUUUUUAGUACUUUUUGACAAAAGUUUUACAAAGUAAAUUAAAGUCAAAUUGUAAGAAGCAUAAACAUUGGUGCACUAGAACACAAGUUUUACGUCUUCAUUGAAACAUAACGAGAUUGAGAAAUGGAAUUACUCUCAGCACAAUUCUUGCAUAAGAUAAAAACUUACUGAUUCAAAAAAUUUUAGGCAGGAGAAAUAUUUUGUAGGAAACAAAUAGAAUGAACAGAACAAUAGUAAAUUUAAUUUCAUUUUCGACAUAAUCUAUUUAAUUUAUUCCCAUUCUUACCUUUGGCAGCAAGUCUAUGUAAUUACUAGUGGUAAGAUAGAAUCUGAGUCAAAACUGAAGAUGAGAUAUUGGAGAAAACCAAAUAGAGACGACCGAUGAUUGAACAACUUAAAACCAAAUAGCAACCACUGAUGAUUGAACAACUUCAGUCUAUUUCCUUUCCUCCAAUUCUCACCUUAAGUUGCAACUAUUUAUCACAAAAGUUUCGUUACCAUUGUGAGUACAGGCAGACAGAACACCAACAUAAGCUACCUCAUCCGGUUUGAUCGAAGCCCUAAGCAUUUGGGAAAACAUAUCAAGAGCUUUAUCACCAUUGCCACUGAUGGCGAGGCCAACAAUCAUGGUCGUCCAUGAGAAUUUGUCCUUUCAAAGCACCUUCCUGAAUACCUUUUGAGCUUUCUCAACAUCUGCGCAUAUACAGUACAUGUCUAUCAAAGCAUUCCCCGCAAAUAUAUCAUUCUUGACUUUGUUUUUGUCAAUAUAAGUCUUUAUCCAUUCUCCCAGAUCUAGUGCCCUCAGAUUCGCACGAGCUGUAAGAAUGCUAACAAUGGUAAACUCGUCUCCCAUUAUAUUUGAAGUUUGCAUCUCCUGAAAAAGCGUCAAAGCCUCUCUGAACCUAUUCACUCGAAGGUACCCAUCAAUCAUGGCAGUCCAUAAGACAUAAUCUCGUUCUGGCAUCUGAUCAAAACACUGUCGAGCUAUAUCGACUUGUCCUCUGUUUAUAUACCUCGAAACAAUGGCAGUCCAAGAAAUUACAUCUUUAUUCUUCAUGUUCCCAAAAAUCUCAAGAGCAAAACCCAUUUCUCCAUGAGAGGAGUUCCUUAUGCUCCAGCAGUUGGCAGUUUGGUGUAUGCCAUAAUUUGUAUAAGACCAGAUAUUGCUUAUACAGCUAGUGUAGUCAGUGGUUUCUCUUCAAUCCCGGUAAAGAGCACUGGACAACAGUGAAAAAUUCUCAGAUAUCUUAGAGGCAUUUUCAGAGCAUGUUUAUAUUUUGGUGGUGACAAACCUGUGUUACAAGUGUGUAGAUAUGGCAGGAGAUGUUGAUUCCGAAAAAUUCCUACUUGGAUGUUUGCUCACUUUUGUAGGGGGAGCAGUCUCAUCGCAAUCUAAACUUUAGUAAUAAGUUGCCUUUUCUACCACUAAAGCAAAUGAUAUUACAAUUAUUGAAGGUUGCAAAAAAAUAUUGUGGACGAAAAAUUUCCUACAAGAGCUGGGUAUAAAACGAGACAACUAUGUUAUGUACUGCGACAGUCAGAGUGCCGUUCAAAGAAUUUGAUAUACCAUUCGAAAUCUAAGCAAAUUGAUAUGAGGUAUCAUUAGAUACGAGACGUACUUGAGAAAGAACAGUUAUAGCUUGAGAAGAUUUACACAACGGAGAAUGGGUUAUGUAUGAUGACAAAUUCAUUAUUCAAGGAGAAACUGAAAAGUUAUAAGCAAAGAGCGGGCCUGUGGUGCCCCCCACAUGAUCUAAAGGGGGAGAUUUGUUGUAUUCAUCUCAUAUAGAGGCCCAAAAGUCCAUAGUCCAAAAAGGAUUGUUUGGUGUGCAAUUAUCACUAAGUUUUAGACUUAGAUGAAAUUUACCAUUAAAAGUAGCUUUUUAAAUGCUAUAAAGAAUAAAGGCAAGUGGCGGCUAACAUUAAGAAAAGUAGAAGAAAAGAACGAGAGAGAGAGAGAAAAAAAAACACAAUGGUGAUUCCUUUGGUUUUGGGGCAAGGGUUUCCAUCUUUGGUCGGACAAUCGAAAAAGUGAACUUAACUAUUUUUCUCAAAUUUAGAAGAUAAGUUAUAGCAUCGCCUUAUACACAUCCUACUAAUCUUAAUUUUUUGUUUUAUCCUCUUAUUAACUAUUAUUUAAGAUACCUACUUAUUAGAGAUUGUUAUUUGAUAUACUUACUAAUUAGAGACUGUUAUUUUAGAUAUCUACUUAUUAGAGAGAUAUAUAUUAGGUUGUAUUAUAAGUUAAGAUUAUUGUAAGUUAAAAUUUUCACAUAAAAAUUUGUGCCUCUUGUAAUUGGCUUAUUAUUUUAGAUUAUGUUGAUUUAUUUUUUACUUAUUUAUUUAUGGUAUAUUUCAUGUUUUAAUCACACAAAGAGAAAAAAUAUUUUGUUUUCACUUAAUUUGCAGUUGCUUGUGUAAGUUCAUUCUCGACAAUCAGAAUCUCAUUUCCAUGAUUAACAAAAUUACCUUCAUUCCAAAUUCUAAAAUCAAACUUUGCCCUGAUUAAUUAAUGAAAAUAUAAAAGAAAAAAAUAAAAUUAAAAUCCUGAAAAUGAAAUUAGACAACACCUAAAAUCGAACCAGCAGCGCCCAUACCAAAGUCGAACUGCUGACAACUUGCCAUUGACCUCGCAUCAAGCAGCAGCACCUGCCGUCAUUUGUGCAAUAAACUAGUAGCUCCCCGAAUCGCAGCCACAACAUCUCCCAUCGUUAGCACAAUGAAACAACUUCUUCCUAAAUUGAAACAGUAACACCUGACAUUGCCAGAAAUAAUAGCCGUUGAAGCGUCGCAAGUCAAUCUCACAUGAAAGCAGCAGCCGAUAGGCAGCCACUACAAAAAUGAUGAUGAUAAUGAUGAUUUUUUUUUUUGAAAUGAUGAUGAUAAUGCUUUUUUGGGAAAAAAUGAUGAUGAUGAUUAUUCUUAUUAUUAUUGUUAUUUUUGGCAUAAUAAAUAAUUGUUGUUGUUGUCAUGUUUGUUAUUAUUAAUUUUAUCAUUAUUAUUAUUGAAAUAAAGUAAUUAUUGUUAUUAACAAUAAUUUUUUUGAAUAAUAAUAAUGUAACAAACAAUAAUGAUAAUAUUAUCAUCAUUAUUAUUUCUUUUUAAUGAUAUGACAAAUAUUAAAUAAUAAUAAUUAGAAUAACAAACCAAAGAUAUUUUAUUAACUUAAAAUAAUUCAUUCCGAUUCGAGGACAACAUAAACACAUCAACGGUAAUACAACUCAUUUCAAUUUCAGUCUAUUCUGAUUACUGAUAAGUAAAUGAACCAUAAUUGUUUUUCUACCAAUUAUUUUAUUUUAUGUUAAAUUGUAAAUUUAGAUUAUUUUUUUAUCUAUAAGGCAGUUAGAGAUAAUAUCGACACACCAAUAUAAUAGUGAGAACAUUUGAACAUGUCAAUAUGGUUGCAGUACAUUAUGUCUAAAUGCCAAUAUAGUUGUUGCCAAUCAACUUAAGACUACUUGUAGAAGUUACCAACUUCAGUCCCCAAAGCGUCUACCCUACAACCAGCAUAGUGAGUGUUAUAAAAAGUUUUUUUUUUUUUUUAUAAAGAAUAAUUUUUUAUUUAUUUUUAAAUGAUUUUAGUUAUUCAGAUAAUUGAUUAAUACUGAAAAAAAUAUAUUUAAUAAAAAUAAAAAUUAUUAUUUUUCAUUUAUUGAUUGAUAUGCUCAUAAUUAUUUUUUAUUUUUAUUUUUAUCUUAAUUUUCUGUUAAAUUAUAUUUUGAUAUGUUAAUUUUUAUUUUUAUUUUUAUUUUUAUAUUUUAUUAUUAUAAGUAUAUUUUAAGAAUAAAGAAAAAAUAAAAGAAAAUCGACAGUAGAAGACAUUAGGAAAAGAAAUGUGGGCGGCCGAAUUAAUUAAUUAAUUAAUAAAAAGGACAGCGGCUACUUGCAUUAAUUUAAAAAAGGAAAAAAGAUAAAGUUUGGAAUCACGAGUGAGGCGGCGGCUUCUAUUAUAAUGGAGAGCACUUGAAUAUAUGCUAAUCAGUAAUUAAAAUAUGGUGAAAUCAGAAUUUGAGAAUUACCGUGUGAAAGUCAGGAAGCACCUGCCUGCCAAAAAUUUUGUCAUCGUGAUGAAUAGUAUGUUUCUGGAUUUUUGGGGGCCCUGAAAUAGUGGAAGCCACUAUUUCAAACUAGAACAACAUAAGGAUAUAAGCAGUGACAUUGAAGACGAGAGAGGGAGCUUGAGGUUGGGGGGAAUGCACUCGUAAAGAGGGAAGAACAAGAGCGUACGAUGGUCAUAUUCCAAAUUGAAUUUGAGACUUGAUAGAUUGAUUAAUCUUGUCUUGUAGGGGGAAGGCAAGUUUGCACAGGGUGAGCCGGAGGUUAAAUAAAAUAUUUAGAGCUAGGUAAUGUAUUGUCCUUAGAUAGCAUGUCACAAUAAAUUAUUUAAGCUAGAAUCAGACCACUCAUAUUUCACUUCAAGUUGUAUAACUUACGGGAGCGAGAGGGAGAGAAAUAAUUGGGAAAUAUAGGGGAAAAAAAAUCUCUUCUUUGUUAAAUAAAAUAAGUGAUUAAUUUUCUUAAGUUAAGAUGAGGGGUAAAAUUUAAAGAUUUUAACUAUGAAAUUAAUUACUCUCUUAAGUAAAUUUAAAGUUUAUUGUUUUCAAUUACAUGUUUACAAUUUGUAUUUUCUACCAAUUAUUUUUAUUUUAUGUUAAUUUGUAUAUCUAGAUUAUUUCUGAAUGUAUAGGGCAUUUAGAGAUAAUAUUGACAUACCAAUAUAGUAGUUAGAACUUGCCAAUAUGAUUGGAGUACAUUUGUCAAAAUACCCAUAUAGACCUAAAGUGAAUUUAGACCUAUAGAUUAACAUACACAUUAUGUCUAUAUAUGUAUAUGAAUCCAAAGUGGAUUUAGAUCUAUAGAUUAAUACGAAAUAAAAUAAAUUAUAAAUAUGUAAUUAAAAAUAAUGAACUUUAAACUUACUUGAGAGUUCAACUAAUUCUAUAAUUUAUAUUUUUGAGCAUCAUCCUUCCCCUUUAUCUUAAAAAAUUAGCCAUAUAUAUGGGUAAAUAAAGCACAUUAAGGACUUAAUUACUUUUCUCCGUUAAAUAUUAAAGUUAGCUUCAGCUGAAAUGCAAUGCAGUUUCUUCGAUUUAACGUUUAUACUUUGUUUACUAUUUAUAAUAUUAAAUUUUAAUUGUGGAUGAUCCUCUAGGAGAGAGAAAAAAUAUUAAAAAAAUAUUUAACAUUAAUGAUAACAAAUCUCAACUAUUGAUUAACCAUAAAUCUGAAAGUUAUUAACGGAAUAUGUAGUGGAUUUUCCAAUGUUUUAACAACCAUGCGAAACCAUAACGAUUCUCUGCCAAUUAAUCAAUAAAAUAAUAAUUGUUAUCACAACAGUAAUUUAAACAAAAUUACAUUCUUUUUCCCCAUUUUUAAGAAAAGAAAAGGAACGAAAGCUACACAUUUUUCAAAUUUUAUGUUAUAUUUUCCAACUUAUGUGCUGCACAUGUAGUAGUAUUAAACUUAAAAAUUAUAGCCACUUCGGCCUUGGUCGGAGUAGUAUUAAGCUUGUGAGGGCAGCGGUUCAAGCCCCCACAAAAGCAUUUGUGGGGGCUAACGUGCUUAUUUUGUUUAAUAUUUCAAAAAUUUCCUCUCCCUCGUGCAAUACGAGUGGAGUAUGGACAUCCCUCUUCUGUAAGGGAUUAUUUGUCUGGGCAUGUACUUCACAGAAUUCAAUGUAAUAAUAUAAGUCCCAAUCAUGUAUUUCUGAUUGUAAAUAUCAGUGUAAUAUAUCUGCUAUAAUAGCAGUUGUAAAUAUCUGUGUAAUGCAGUAAUAUGAUGAUUAAUCAGUAUUCAAAAAAAAAAAACUUAAAAAUUAUAAAGAAAAAAAUUUCAAUAUAACAAUUAAGUUAUAAUUAUUGGCGAUCGCAUGCAUGCUUUCAAAUUAAAGUAGUCGGCCAUCAGUUGAUGUGAUUUUUUGGCAUUGAAUGACAAUUUUAAAAUGACAUGUCAAGCAAAAGGAUAAGCAAAUUUGACAAUAUGCCAGAGUUUGGUCUCAUUAGCCCUCAUAGAUAUUGUGAAUUUAUGAGGUACAAAUUGAUUGAAGCUCUAUUUUUAGAUAAAACACAAACAAAUUUCAAAUUAUCCAAAUAUGGAUUAUGUUACGUAACAUACACUAAUGUUGGUGUUAAAAGGAAAAAAAUGUUGAAAAUAAUAGUGGAAAAAUAAAAUCAUCCAAAAAAAAGUGGGUUGAGAUUUAAUUGGUUAGGGUGACUAGAAAAUUUUAAUGACACAAGUGAUACAAAUUAAACACAUUAAGGAUUUAAUUUUUUUCUACCCUAAAUAUUAAAGUCAACUUCAGCUGAAAUACAAUGCAGUUUCUUAAAUUUAACAUUUAGGCUUUGUUUAUUAUGUAAAGUAUUAAAUUUUAUUGUGGAUGCAUUUUUCUAGAAGAUCCUCUAGAAGAGACAAAAAAAGUAAAAAUUAUUUAGUAUUAAUGACAACUAAUCUUAACUAUUGAUUACCCAUAAAUCUAAAAGUUAUUAACCGAUGAUGCUGAGAUUAGUGUAUUUUCAAGUAUGUUGAUGUGUCAUCCCCCAUAAAUCAAUUACAAGAGAAUUCAAUCAAGAAAUCAAUUAAUGUUUUAAUUUAAUUGCCAGGCUCAAGCCCAGGCUUUAAGACCAAACGUGGGCCUAGGUCCGAUCAGGUCUCGGCGCCCUUCCGGCUAUUGAUUAGAGAUCCCUUAAGCAAGAGUUCACUCUUUCGGUGGAGAAUUAUUAAUACCCAAACGCAAGUACUUGAACAAAGAAAUUGGUUUUUGUUAGAACAGAAGAAAUUGCAAAAGGUGGAAUUGAUUGACCAUAGAAAAUCAAAACUUCAAAAAAUUUAUUGUCAUUUGAUUUUCGGUAAAGAGGGCUAAUAUACCUAAUAUUUUCCCUGUUUUAAUUCUAUCCAUUCUAGACGUGUGCAUUUCAGUGAGAUUAUAUCUUUUUACAGCAAGUUUAUGCGAGAAUUGGUUUAAGUCAUAUGUUCUUCUCGUUCGUCAAUUGACAGGAAAUUAAAUCGCUAUGAAGAUAUAAAUAAAGUAUCAAUUUGUAUUAAAAAAAAAAAAAAAAGUAAUGGCAGUGCCGGCAAAUUUAUGAAGCAUUAAUUCCAUUAAUUCAACAUUUAAUUGUGAUUAGCAGAAGACAAAAAGAGAGAGAGAGAGACUGAAAUAAAAACAGUGAAGAAAACGUCAAGAAUAAAUUUCUUUUAAAUUCUUCUUUUAAAAGACAAACGCACUCACCAGAAAUCAAAUUUUGCGACCACUGCUCAGGAACGAGGUUGGAAACAGGAACGAAAAGCAAUUUGAGUGGCUUCAUCCUCCCAUUGAAGUCGGUUCCACCAGUCUUCUUCUCCACGAAUUACAAAUUUACGCUCUUUUGCACUGUUGGAAUCGAGUGGAAGCUUUCUAAGCUGAUCACAUGCUCUUACCCCCAUUUCUUUGAGAUGAGUGAAAGGCAAUGGCUUCCAGAAAAUGCUCUUCAACUCCGGCAAAUAUGAUAGAUCAAGACUUUUGAGAUUUUCAAAAGGGCUUAUAUGUCCCAUCAUCUCAGGAUUCUCAGCAAUUUUUCCGACGCUGAUUAUUUCUUCCAUAGCACGGCAUUUGAAUAGCGAAAGAGACUUGAGGUUUGGAGCAAAAGCGAGGAAUGUCGAAUCUUUCAAUUUAUGGCAACUAUAUAUCGUAACAAGGUGAAGGCUGUGGAAAACAAAAGGUUCCCGCCUUUUUCGUACUAUCUCCGUAUAAUCAAUCUUCAAUUCUUCCAACUCAAUACCAUUAUCAAUCCAUAAUUCAUUGAGGUGGUUUAGGUCUGUGAAAGCCGUAGCAUCAAUAAUCGACUUUUUAUCUCCGGUCAAAUAGAGGUAAAGAGAUCGAAUACAACUUUUUAACUUAUUUGAGCUCAAAACAAUUUGGAGAGCAUGAUAACUUCCCAAGGUCAACUCCAAUACCUCUAAAUAUUUCAAACCGAGCAAUUCCUGUAUCAAAACUUCACCCCCACCAAAUAAAACGCUGUCUUCUGAUGCUUCAUGAAAACGAUCAUAGCCAGUAGCGAACAUUCUCAACACACGUAACCUUGAAGAAUUUGAUAUUAGUUGCCGCGGAAUUUUCCUUAACUGGCUUGUCAGCCUCAAAUUCAAACAUUUCAGAUUUACCAACAACUUUAACUCUUCUGGUAACUCUUGUAUUUGGGUACGUGAAAUAUCGAGAAGUUCUAGUGAUGAACCCAACUCUGACAUCCCAACAGGUAAUUUCAAAUUCGAACAGUUUGACAUCUUCAAAACUUUGAGAGAAGGCAUAAAUUGGAAGAAGCCAUCGGUCAUCAUCUCCAAUUUAUAAUUAAAGUCAAGAAAUAAAGUGAGGAGAUGAGGGCAUGUGGGAACCUCUGACAGAAUUUCAAUUUGGUUUUGCAUCAAUGACAAUCUUCUCACAUUUUCCCAUCCUUCAACAUCUGAUACCGCUCCUACUCCAGCACCUGCACAAACCAAAAAUUUUCUCUCCUCCUUCUCAAUUUCACAAGCUAUCCAUCGAGCCAUAUCACGAACAACGUCAUGCAUUUUUACUUUAUCAUCUUCCAUCUCUUCUAGCAAACACGCAUGAACAAGAGUGCCCACAAUGUAGUAUCCUUGGUUUUCUGCACUGAACCUGUCAGAUUCCUCUAAGAAUCCCUCACCAAUCCAACAAUCAAUCAAGUCCCAUUUAAGAAUGCCAUAAUCCUCGGGAUAUAAACAACAAUAUAAGAAACAAGAUCUAAUGAUCUCAUUCUGCAAACUAUCAUAGCUAAACUUUAAAAGACGAUACACCUUCUCUCCCAAACCUGCAAACUCAGAAGCUGAUGUUCUUAGCACAUCAAUUGCAUGACUCCACUCCUCGGCUGUCUUUUUGAAGGCCAUAGCUCGACCAAUAGUAAUAAGUGCGAGUGGCAAACCACCACACUCUUUGGCCACAGUUUGGGCUAGCUCAACGAUCUCAUGAUCACUCUCAAGAGUUUCUUCCCCAACAUUUUCGCGGAACAGUUCCCAAGCUUGCUUUUCUGAUAGGCAUGCCACUUUAACCGGCCUAGCUCUCAUGCUGCCACAAACACCAAUGGAACGGGUUGUGAAUACGACUUUUGAGGUAGUAUUUUGUGCGCUGGGAAGUGGAACGCCCACUUUUGUUAAAUCAACCCGCUCCCAUAUAUCAUCUAACAGCAAUACAAUUCUCUUCUCUCUUAAACUCCGGAAGAUGUCGAGAGCUUUCUCCUCUACACUUUUACUCAGACCUAUCUUCUUCCCAAUAUCGUCUUGAAUUUUUUCAAGCCGCAGGUCUUUUGAAACUACGACCCAAAUCACACAAUCAAAGUUGUUUUGACUCUCAAGAAAUUUGUUGUUGAUAUGGGUCAAUAGUGUGGUUUUACCAACACCACCCAUACCAUAUAGGCCAAUGAUUCCCACUGAUUCUUCUACAAGACAUCUCCAAACUUGUUCAAGUUGUGAUUGCAAGCCUACUAUUGUUGGCUCAGUGGGUCUUUCAUCUGCUACAGGUUCUGGAGCUCUCUCAGGCACCACCUCGGUAGCCACCGCCGCAAAAACUCCUUCGUCGAUUAAAGUCUGCACAUCCCGUAGCUUUUUAGCCACUUGUUUCCCGAACUUGUAGCUUGACGCGCAGUUCUUGGAACAGUAGCCUCCAACACAUAAUUUGUCAAUUUCUUGAGAGCCGUGUCUUUUCAAUUCUCGUUCAGCGUCGACAACCCUCCUCAUCACAUCGUUCUUUUUAGCGAUUAGUCUUCCCAGUUCAGUGUCCAAGGCAUCAAGAUUAUCUUGGAGGUUACGUAUGUAUGCUGCUUUUCCAAGAAAGCAAUCCAAGCAACGAUUGAAAAGAGCACCAUCGCAUGUGAUCUGAAAAAUGCUACACAUCUUUGGAAUUUUGUUAAGAAAGAAAAUUGAUGGAGUUUGAUAAACUGAAGCUGCUGUAGGCUGUGGAAGAGAAAUUUUAGUAAUGACCUCUGUUCGUUAUAUGGCAAAAAUUUUAAAAAGAUUUAGGCACGUCUGAUUCGGGCCCCACUGUAAUGGCCUUUAAGAAAAGAGCAUCGCACAUUCACACUUGCAAACAUGAGCCGCUAACUUUUGAAGGAAAAACAGUUAGUAAUUAUCUUUUACCCACUGCCCCCGAAGAUAAUAGACUAACAGUAACUCUGAAUAAUGAUUAAUGACCCGGUUGUAAUUACCAAAAACUAGUUUUGAAAAAUAAUAAAACAAGAAUUGGAAAAAGACUGUUCGAUUCUUGACUAGUUUUUACUUGCCUCUAAUAAAAAGAGCCUAAUCGUCUGUCCUAUUUGUAUUCAAAAGAAUCCACUUUAAUUUGUAAUUUAUCGAAAAAAUUUAUUUUAAUUUGUAGUUUAGUAAAAGAAACCAGCUGGUUGUUUUGUCACUUUUGAUUUUGUGGAAUAUGACCUAGCUUUUUCUUGUUAGCAUUAAUUUUUAAUAAAAUACAAGCAAUUUCAAGGCCACCAACGUUAAAAGUGAAAAACAAUUUAGCAUUAAUUUUAAAACUUUUCUGACCGACGUUUGAAGGCUAAAGGCUGAUCUGAUCAUGAUAAUUGCUUAAAAGACUAAAAUACCCACCGAAAUUUCUUCUCUGUACAUUUUUAAUUGACAUAUAUUUAAAUCAAUAAUAUUAAAUAAAGCUUCUCCACCGUGGUUCACAUAUACCGUAAAUAUUUAGAGAAUUUAUCAUAUAAGUUUUUAAUUUUUUAAUAAAGAUGUUAAGAUUUUUUUAUCAUUAUGUUUUUUGAAUAUGUUUUUUGAAUAGUAAUUAAAAAUAAUUUUAAAAUUUUUUUAAUAAGUAAAAAUAAUAUAUAUAAUUUAAUCUAUCUAAUAGAUUAGUAAUAUUAAUUUUUUUAAUAUUUGAAGUAAUUUCAAAAAUAUAAUUAUUAAUUUAUCAUAAAUAAAUCUUUAGGUUAAAUGGUAUUUUAAAUUAAUAAAAUAUGAAUAUCUCACAUAUUUUAUUAAAAUUAUUUUAUAUAAUACUUAAAAUACUCUAAAUUUUCUAUAUAUUCAUUUUAAUAGUAUGUUUUUAUUUAUUAUAAAAUUUAUUUUAAUAUAAUAAAAUAUAUCUAAUGGACCAUAAAAUAUUAAAAAUUAUUUUAAAUAUUAAUAUUAUUUUAAAAAUAAAUAUUAUUUAUAUUUCUGCAAGAUUUUCUCUACACUUUCUUACUCUUUUGUUAUUGUUACAUUCUUAUUUAUGCCAUAAUAUGUUUUAAAUUUGAAGAGUUUAGAUAAACAUAAAAAUUAGUGCACACUGCAAUAUAAUAGUCCCGUAAUUUAAUCCCAAAUUAAAUUAGCGACAUUAGAUGCGGCUUCACAUUUGAAAAGUAUGCUCUUCAAUUAUUAAGAGCAUGAAAGGGAGUGCAGAAAAGAAAAAACAAUUAUUAAGAGCAUGACCUGGAAGAUUGUGAAUGAGCACUUGCACAGUUAAAUUAUCGGAACAGAAUUGUAGGGGCCACCAACUUGUGAAUAUCGGUACAAUUAUUGAGGAUUGUAGGGGCCACCAAUUUAUAACAAUUUGAAAAAGACUAUACAAUUUGUUGAUUAAUAAAAGAAUCCAGUUGGUUGUUUUGUCACUUAUGCUUUUGUGGAAUAUGAUCUCGCUUUUUAUGAUUAUAAUAACAUAAUAAUAAUAAUUAUAAUUCAUUUAACAAUAAUUAUAUUUUUUAAUUAAAUAGAGGUUAUUUUGAGAAUUUAAUAUUAUAGGGGCGAAUUCAUACUCUAGGAUUUUAAUAAAAUAAAAUUGAGUAUAAGGGGUUAAAUGAAAUUUUAUAUUUCAAAAAAUUUAUAAUAUUCAUGAAUAAAAUAUAAAUAACAUAAAGUAUAAGGGGUUAGAUGAAAUUAUAUAUAUAUGAGAAAAUGACAGUUACACUUUAAAUAUUUAGAUAACGGUCAUAUAAAUUUUUAAAUUUUUAAUGAAGACAUUAAAAUUUUUUUAAUUAUAAUAUCCUUUAAAUAGUAAUUAAAAAGAUUGACUUUAAAUUUUUUUAAUAAAUAUAAAACAAUAUAAAUAAUUUUUUCUAUCUAAUAGACUAGUAAUAUAAUUCUAGUAAUGACCUCUGUUAGUUAUACUGGAAAAAAAUUUAAAUAGAUUUAGUGCACACUUAACCUUUAUACCACUUGUACUAAUCAAGUUAGAAUAAUAAUUUCUAUAACUAUUAUCUCUUCAAGUUAAUAAAAUUAGACUGCGUUUGAUAAACUUUUUAAAUAAAUUUUAUUUUAAGUUAGUUUAAUCUUAACAUUAUGAUAAUUGAGAUAUAGUGUAAUUGGAAGUAUGUUAGUCUCUUUCUUUGCAAACAUUAUAAAUUACUUAAUUUCUCCAAUUUCAUAGUCAACUUUGCAAAAAAUAGUUUGUAACCUAAACUGCAUGUAGUAAAUUUUUUUUAAAUAUUAAUUCAUGCAUUGAAAUUCGAUUCAAGACCCAAAUUCUAAAAUGACUACUUCUUACACUUAAAAUUAGAUUAUAAAAAAGAUAACGGAAAAACAUUCUUUCAAUAAGAGUUUUAAAAUUUUAUUAACGAAUUCGAUGAACAGAAACUGCCCCGGAAGAUAACAAUAACUCUGAAUAAUAACCCGAUUAUAAUCACCAAAAACUAUUUUGAAAAGUAAUAGAAGAAAAAUUUAAAAAAAAAAAGACUAGACAAUAGAAAUAUUCGAUUCUUCACUACUUUAUACUUGCCUUUAAUAAGAGUCUCUAAUCGUCUAACGCACUACUAUUUAAAUAUUUGAACUUUAAUUUGAUGUUUAGUAAACGAUUCCACUUUAAUUUGUAGUUUAAUAAAAGAAUUUGUUUGCUUUUGCGGAUCUAACUCCAUUGCGGAAUAUUACGAUUUGCUUUUGUGGAACAUUAAGAUCUUGCUUUUUAUUGUUGGCGUAAAGACAAAUGAACGCAUUUUAGAACUUUUCUGACCAACGUUUCAAGACCAGGGCCUAACCAUGAUAAUUGUUAAAAGACUAAAAUGCCCACCGAAAUUUCUUCUCCUUACAUUUUUAAUUGAGAUAUUAUUUAAAUAAAUAACAUUAAAUCACGCUUUUUCACCACCAUGGUUCAUAUAUAUAGAGUAAAAAGACAGAUAUGCCCCUAACAUUUGAAAAAAUAGUUAUACAAACCCCCAAAUUUUUAACAAAGACGUGAAAAUUCUGUUUUUGUCAUAAUAUCCUUCAAAUGGUAACUAAAAAUAUUGAUCUUAAAUUUUUUGAUAAGUAAAAAAUAACAAAAAUAUUUAACCUACUUAAUUAGAGUUAACAACGAAUAAAAAUUAAACACACAUAGAUUUUUUUCUAACAAAUUUCAUAACCAACCCUUUCUUUUGUUAACCUGCUACUUCUGAUCUAACUAAAAUAAGUUGUAUAAAUUUAGAAUAAUUUAUUAAUCUUUUCAUAAUUCUUAUUGAUUAAAUAUUUUCAUAUUAAAUUUCAAAUUGUAAUGUAAAAUAUGUGAAAUUUAAGCUAAUGAUUAACAUUCAAAAAUUCAUCACCUAAAAAACUUUUUAAUUUAUAUGCAGAGUAAUAAUAAGAUUGCAAAAGAAAUUAAAAAUAUCACAAUACUACUUUGAGUUUAACAAUAAAAAAAUUAAAUGAAAAAUUAGAAGUGUAGUAAAAGAGAAAAAAGAUAUUUUAAAAAUAAAAUAAAUAUAACUCAAAAAGAGGAUUCGUGAGAAGAUUGGAAGGGUGCCAAUAGUCUAACUCUAUGAAAUAUUACCACUAAUCGUCUACAUCAUUUAGCUCACUUUUUUCCUGCUAAAAUCAAUUUGGAUAGAGAUUUCGUUAAUCAUUAAUAUUUUUUUGCCCUUUUCUUCAUCUUUAUGAUAAUCAUCAUCUCUGUUUCCAGCUCUAAAAGAAUCGAUUGCUAAAGUUAUAAAGUAUAUAUGUUUAUUUCUCUGUGUGCAAUAAUCUUUUGCAGAAUAUUACGUUUGUGGAAUUUUAAAGAUCUUGCUUUUUCUUGUCGGCAUUAAUUUGUAAUAAAAUAAAAUAACUUUUUUAAAGUAAAGAUAAUGUACGCAUUUUAGAACUUUUCUAACCAACGUUUCAAGAGCAGGACCUAAUCCCUAAUCAUGAUAAUCGUUAAAAGACUAAAAUGCCCACCGAAAUUUCUUCUGUGUACAUCUUUAAUUCAGAUAUUAUUUAAAUAACUAAUAUUAAAUCACACUUUUUCACCACCGCGGUUCACAUAUAUAAAAGUAAAAAGACAGCUAUGCCCCUAACAUUUGAAAAAAUAAUUAUACAAACCCAAAUUUUUAAUAAAGACAUAAAAAUUCUGUUUUCUCAUAAUAUCAUUCGAGCUGUAACUUUUGAUUAGUACAAAAUAAUAAAAAUAUUUAAUCUAUUUAAUAGACUAGUAAUAUCAAAAUAUUUUUUAAUAUUUGAAAUGAUUUAAAAAAUAUGAUUAUUAAUUUAUCUUAAAUAAAUCUUUGGGUUAAAUAGAAUUUUAAAUUAAUAAAAUUUUAAAUAGAAUUUUAAAUUAAUAAAAUAUAUCUUACAUAUUAAGAAUCUUAAAGUUAUUUUAUAUAAUAUUCAAAAUACCUGCNNNNNNNNNNNNNNNNNNNNNNNNNNNNNNNNNNNNNNNNNNNNNNNNNNNNNNNNNNNNNNNNNNNNNNNNNNNNNNNNNNNNNNNNNNNNNNNNNNNNNNNNNNNNNNNNNNNNNNNNNNNNNNNNNNNNNNNNNNNNNNNNNNNNNNNNNNNNNNNNNNNNNNNNNNNNNNNNNNNNNNNNNNNNNNNNNNNNNNNNNNNNNNNNNNNNNNNNNNNNNNNNNNNNNNNNNNNNNNNNNNNNNNNNNNNNNNNNNNNNNNNNNNUUAUAUUUAUUUUAAGAUUAAAAUUUAAUUUAUUAUAAAAUAUUAAAGUAAAAUUUUUUAAGUUAAUUAGAACAAACAGUAUUAUAAUCAAAAGAAACUUUCGAAGUCCUUUCCAUUAACCUCAGGUGUACCUUUUACUUCUCUCUCCAUAUGAAAUAGAGUGAAACUAUGGCACCCCUUCAUUAUCCUUAUAAAACCUCACUUCAAAUAAAUUACAAUUAAGGACAAAUAAAAAUUAAACACACACAGAUUUUUUUCCAACAAAUUUCAUAACCAAUCCUUUUUUUUUUUACCUGUUACUUUUUAUUUAACUAAAAUAAGUUGUAUCAAUUUAGAAUAAUAUGUUAAUCUUUUCAUAAUUUAUUAAAUAUUUUCGUACUUAAUUUCAAAUUAUAAUGUAAAAUAUAUGAAAUUUAAGCCAAUGAUUAAUGUUCAAAACUCAAAAGUUCAUCACCUAGAAAACUUUUUAAUUUUUGUGUAAAAUAAUAAUAAGAUUGCAAAAGAAAUAUAAAAUAUCACAAUACUACUUUGAGUAUAACAAUAAAAAAAAUUAAAUGAAAAAUUAGAAGUGUAUUAAUAACUCAAAAAGGUAAUCAUGAGAAGAUUGGAGGGGUGCCAAAUUCAAUAGUCUAACUCUAUGAAAUAUUACCACACUAAUCGCCUAUAUCAUUCAGCUCACUUUUUUUCCAGCUAAAAUCAAUUUGUAUAGAUAAUUCGAUUUCUAAAGUUAUAAAGCAUAUAUGCUUAUUUCUCUGCGUGCAAUAAUUCUAGCUAGGUAGAAGUGCAAAAGAUUUGACUUUAAAUAUAUUCUAAUAAGUGCAAACAUUAUAUAAAUAAUUGUAGAAUAAUAAUAGUUAAAUAAUCAAAAUGUAAGUAAUAUAUUUAUAUCUACUGAAAAUAUUAAAAAAAUUUGCUUAAAUAAUUUUUAUAAUUAAUCAAACAUAUCUAACAUAUUAAUAAUAUUAAAAUUAUUUUAAAUUCAAAAUAAUUUAAAUUUUUAUAAAUUUAUUUUAAUAUUAUGUCCCUAUUUAUUUGAAAAAUUAUAUUAACUUAAUAAAAUAUGUGUAGUAGAUUGUAAAACAUUAAAAUAUUUUUUAUAUUUAAAUUAUUUAAUAUAUAUAUAUAUAUAUCACAUUUAUUUUAAUAUUAGAUUUCUAUUUAUUGUAAAAUAUUAGAAUAUACAUAUUUUUUGAGUUAACACAGUAAAAGGAUAUUAUUAAUCAAAAUAGGAUAUCAAUAUCCCUUAUUGAAAUCUUGAUAAUCUGCAUGAUUAUUUCUUUUCUCCGGGAUUUAAAUUUCAUUGGAUCCUAAUUCAUGUCUACUUUCUCUUGAUUUAUUUUGUGCUUUUGACACUUGGCUAGGCAGUAAUUGCUCCUGCAAAUCCUUACACCAACACAAACUUAUAAUUUUAAUUAAGAAUUGUGUUAAUGAGGUUUUAAUAAAAGUUUUUCCUCUAAAAGUAAUAAUAACAAUAAUUUUGACCAAAGUUUCAAGGGCUUGGCUAGGCAGUAAUUGCUCCUGCAAAUCCUUACACCAACACAAACCAAGAAAUUGUAAAAUACACGGCCCGAUUCUUUAGCGAUGACCAUCUCAUCGUCGGCGGUCGUGUCAUCAUUGUCACUGGUCUUGUUCGACCGAGAUAGUAAGAGAGAAGUCUGUUAGAUGGAGUUUGUGAGAGAGAGUUGUAAAGAUGGAAUGACAUAAAGGAUUCGAUUUUCUUUAUUGUUUUUUAUUAAUAUUUUAAUUUUUAAAAUUAAAAAAAGGCGAGAGAUUGUGGGAGCGAAACGGCAGCACUCAAAUUUAUUUAAAUGCAAAAUUACAGACAACACAACGGAACACAUACUAUGUGGACCUUGAAUAAUCUAAUCUUGAAUGUUUAACUUUCAUUCCACUAAAGAGAAAAUAUUUCAACAUUAAGUUCACAUCAAUUUACAAUCAAUCUAUAGCAAUAAACAAUUGGAAAAACCAUUAAAAACACAUUGACAGACAAGGAUGAACUAAUGCACUGAUAUAUCUUUCAACAAGACAUCUAUUCAGGCUACAUAAUCAAAUAGAGUCUAUCAGAAAUAUCAUUUGCUCUUCCAUAACAUUCUUUACUGGGUUCAACUCCUCCAACUAAUAUAGUGGCAAAAACAAUUAUCCUGCAAGGCUGCAACUACCAAUCCAAAGCAUGUACUUUUCUUAAACCUGGUAAGUUUACCCUCGAAAGGGGAUAGAUUGCUUUUCUUUAGAAUAUCUUUUGCUUGCAUCUCUUCUCCAUUUUCAGUGUUUUACUUCUUAAAUAUUUUUGUUUCAUGCUUUGAUCAUCUUGAUAUACUCCCAUCUCUUCCAUGAUUUGUGUUAAAUAUAUAUUAAGGAACUUACGGAAAAGUAACCCACAUGCAUGUGUUAAAUGAGAUGACUCCACUUUGAAAUAAAAUAAAAGCAGGGACACUUGCUUUGUCCUUUUUCAACAUUUCACGCAUGAAAAGUAAAUUUCAUUUCAUAUUACUCCCUUAUAAAAUAAUCAUCUUUAAAAUAUUUCAAACUACUGCUAACAUAAUUUAUUUCAAUUUUAUUAAGAAGAAAAAAUAUUUCACCAACAUGUUCCAUUUUAAAUCGAGAGUAAAUUAAAAUUUAUAAUAAUUUAAGAGACAUUUUAAAUAUUGUUAUUUUCAGAGACACACAAUCUGAAAUUUACAAAUGCGUACAUUAUCUUUAAUAAUUAAAUAGAUGUAUGGACAUAAAAUGAAUGAAAUAGCUCGCCACCAAUUGUCCUUAGCAGUAAGUGAAUUCCCUGUUUAACUCCAAAGCUUUCACAAAGUUUUUGCCGGUAGCCUGGAAGCGGUCCUCUUCGCCAUUAUCUGCAAUUGUUAACAUACUUCAGGAGAAGGAAAGCUGAAAAAUUGGGGAAAAAAAGACCAAACCCAUAAGUGAAAGGAAAAUUAGCUAGUUUCUCCCCGUAUAUAUAUUUCUGCAGGACCAUUACAGGUUGAUAUGGUUGAUCAGACCAGCAUUUAAAGCAAGUGAACCUAAUUCUGUAUAAUAAAUUAUUGCUGUUUUUCUUUAACAUUGAUAUUACCUCAAUGCAUGAGCUAGUAUCUACAGAUACUUGCCUGCUGUACGGCCAAGGCGGAUGUACGGUACAGCAGCACCCGGUGCCUCUUCUAAUCGAGCACCUGCACAAACCAAAAAGUUUCUCUUCUCCUUCUCAAUUUCACAAGCUAUCCAUAAAGCCAUAUCACGAACAACGUCAUGCAUUUUUACUUUAUCAUCUUCCAUCUCUUCUAGCAAACACGCAUGAACAAGAGUGCCCACAAUGUAGUAUCCUUGGUUUUCUGCACUAAACCUGUCAGAUUCCUCCAAGAAUCCCUCACCAAUCCAACAAUCAAUCAAGUCCCAUUUAAGAAUGCCAUAAUCCUCGGGAUAUAAACAACAAUAUAAGAAACAAGAUCUAAUCGUCUCAUUCUGCAAACUAUCAUAGCUAAACUUUAAAAGACGAUACACCUUCUCUCCCAAACCUGCAAACUCAGAAGCUGAUGUUCUUAGCACAUCAAUUGCAUGAUGGCGGUUCUCUCACCACCUUUCCUAAUGCGUUGGACCUCCACUCCGUCUUCACCGUAAUUUCAGGAAAUUCAUCAGAUUUCUCAGCAGCACUAAAUAAAGCAGCAAAAACUUCCUUCCGUAAUUCAUUUCUGUCCUUUGGGUGCCUAAGCAAUUCCCCUUCGUUAGUAUUUGGAUUUUCCUUUGCACGACGGAGACAAUACAGUCAAAAGCUAAUCAAGUAACCAUAUAUGGAUGAGAAAUCCCUCCACCCCCUUCCAAAACAAAGUCUAAGAAAUAUCAUAAUUCUUUCAAUAAAAACCCUUCCCACCAUGCCGUGCGUACUGAAGGAAAUAUAUUAGUCUUACAACAAGCUGAGAAAAUAAAUUAAAUACCAUACCCUCCAGAAGAAUUCAAUUGUUGCAAUUUUCUUUUAUGUGGAGGCCCUCCAAAAGUAGAGCACAUAUCCUCUCAUUGUUUAUGAAAUCAUAAUAACAGGAAACCAGCUAUUAAUAACAAAACUUACAUUUGAAAUUCAACUGUGAUGAAAAAGGAUUAAAAAAAAUAUAUGAACUUGUUAUCUUGGAAGAAGGUAAUCUAAGAUAUAGCGAACUUCGCACAUUCAUAUAUGAACACAAAGGAUUUGUGGAUUUUCUAAAGCCAUAAUCAUUUAAUAAUCAUGAACCAAGCAAUAAUAUAUGAUUAUUAUUUCUUUUCUUCUAAACUACAGAUAUUUGUGCAUCAGAAUAAAGUGGUACACAAUGGUUGUGUGCAGAUACACACGCAUGAUCAACAGGAAACAUCAUCUGAACAUUUGUAUUACUAAUUUGGCAUACAAAGAUUCUCAUAAUAGUUCAAAAUACAAGUAAAUGAACAUUUACAUGAAGACACUGCCAAUCACCCACUCCUCAUUUCUCAAAGAUUCAUUGUUUAAAGAUGAGGCAAAUACUCUCCUUGUUACUUAAAUAAGAAUAUCCAAAUUCUCCACAAUGGCACAAUAUACAAAUUGCAUAUUCAUUUUCCUGUUCAAUACCAGUGUUGAGAAAAAUUAGUUAAGGCAACUGGUAUGCAUAAAUAAUUUUAGCAUCUAUCAUGGAUGAACUUGCCAACAGAGUUCCUCUUGUAUUCAUUAAACUGACAAUUAUACAAAAAGUUAUUGUCAGGGCAUAAUAAACUAUUACAUCCUACAACUGGUUUUCACAUUACCUAAAAUAGAUUUCCUUAGCUUGGCUCGAAAGUGUUGCCUAGCCACAGAAAAGAAAAGGAAUUCAUGAUCCCUAUAUGAUAUUACAAAAUAGAUCAUCAACCACUUUUAACGAUCUCCAAAAAAAGAGUCGUGUACAAAAAUUAUGACCAAUGAUUAUUUAAUACUCGGGAAUUAUGCAUACCUUUUCAGAGGAUUUACCAAGAAAUUUUGUCUUCUCACCCAAAGUCUCCACUGAGCGAUCAAUUAGUUUAGACAUGCUCUGAAGAGUGAAGAAAAAACAUGUUAGCUAAGAAAAUGACUAUAGAAUGGGCAUAUCCUCUCCGAAGAAUUACUUUAUUGAUCAAAUUAACUUCAGAAGGAAAAAUUCAUGUUAUCAAGCAACAGAAACAGGCAGACCAAUUAUUUCAAGUUACAAAAUAGAAAUAUAAAAUCAUGACCUCAACUUUUAUUGAUUGAGAGGAACAUGCAUAAUGUAAAGCAUCACAAUCAGGUUAAAUGAAAAUGGUUCAAGUCUUUAAUUGAAACAAACAUUUUUGGCUGAAAUAAAAUGUUGUCUUUAAUAAUAAGUCUAAAUAAAAGCACAGAUGUCAUUUUGCAAAUACCGGCAAGCUUUUUCAGGCCUUUGAACCAUGAAGAUCUAAAUAAAGUACUCUAUUGAGUUCAACUACUGAAAUUAACCAAAGUAUCUCAUUCUCACUUUUGGAAGCAGUAGCAAAUCGACGUUAAUCAAAAUGGAAGUUGAACCUUAACAUAUGACAGCAGUAUUUAAGACUUGACUUUGGUAUGAUAUAUCAAUCACAAAGGAAAAUGCGAUUUAAAAAAUCAGAGGCCUCCAUCAAGAAGAUAUAGCCCUUACCUUUUUGCAUUUCAUAUCCACAACUAUCUGCAAGUCAAGAAUAAUACCAAAUUAGUGAUCACAUGCACAUGAAAAGAAAAAAGAAGAAGAAGAAGAAUAAAAAGAGGAGAAAGAAAGAAAGAACAUUGAAAAGGACAAUAUGUAUUAAAUUGGCAUCAAUAUAUUUAAGACGUUACCAUGAACCUCCUGAAUCACAUCCCUGUACAGCUGGAACCCUUCUCCUAGCAAUUUAAAAAGAAAAUCUUCCAUAUCCUUCUGCAAAUGGUCAUCCUUUGAUUGUUUCGGUUUAGUUUCUUCUCUGAAAGUGCAGAAAUGCGAAACUCCCUUGGAUCCAACUUCAAUGGCUUUGAUGCCAGAAAAGUGCCAUUAGCUGGCUGUGCAGGUUUAACAUAAUCUUUACCAAGAAAACUUGAAACGGUACGUCCUGAUACCAGAUGCCAUUUUGUAUUAGAAGCUCUAGAUUUUCCAUUUCCAUAAAAUGAAUUCUCAGAGAUGUAACUAUUUGAUGAUUUUGAAGACUCUUUACCCCUUGCCUCCCCAGCAGAAGUAUGGACAGAAGAUGUUGAGGUGUUUGCCUGUUUGUUGCAGAGAAAUUCACCAGCCAAAUCGGGAUUUCCCCCUGCAUUGCAAUAAGCAAAAGUUAUUUCUUGCAGAGUAAACACAGAACCAAAUGUGUCAAGCAAACCCUUUUAGUGCCUUCCCCUCAAUGUCAUAAUUUAAUCCAUUAGACCCGACCCAGUUACUUCCAUUCCAAAUAAACUUCACAGAUUAAUACAAAAAGAAAAAAUCAGUACAUGCUUCUGGAUUUAAAUUUGACAUAAAUAGUUGGGGAAAACAGAAAAUUAAAGCAAAGUUUGGAACACAAAUUGAAUCACUGUAACACGUAAUCUACCCAAUCAAUGCCAAUAAAACAGAAGCCACUAACUAUUAGCACGGAAACUCCUUCACAAUGUUUUUGUUAUAACACUAAUUUUCUAAACAAUCACCCAACAUUCAUGGUGUGUAAUUAUAAAAUUGGGGAAUAAAAGACAAAAUCAGCGAAGAUAUGCUAAACCAACAAAAGAUUGUCUAUCAUGUACAUAUCCUAAUUGCAGCCUAGAAAAAGAAGAAUCCCAAAAAGGAGCCUUCAUCAUUUGAACUGUGGUACUUUUCAAAACCACAAACUCAUGAAUAAAGCUCCCAAUUUCACUAGUAUUGUGACGGUUACUUCACUUACAUGAAUAUUCAACAAACUUGAAAUCCCCAUCUACAAUCACAUGGUUACCUACAGUAUGAUCAAUAUUAAAUGAAACGCAAUUAUACAUAACAAAUAUAUGGGGGGAAAAAAAGAAAAAGAGAGAGAGAAAUGAAUGAAAUGCAAUUGUACAUAAUUUCAAAUAAAAAUAACAAUAAAUAAAUAAAUCAACUUCCAUUAGACCAAAAAUCGAUUACUUGUUCCAUCACCAAAUGUGUCAAGCAAACCCUUUUAGUGCCUUCCCCUCAAUGUCAUAAUUUAAUCCAUUAGACCCGACCCAGUUACUUCCAUUCCAAAUAAACUUCACAGAUUCAUACAAAAAGAAAAAAUCAGCACAUGCUUCUGGAUUUAAAUUUGACAUAAAUAGUUGGGGAAAACAGAAAAUUAAAGCAAAGUUUGGAACACAAAUUGAAUCACUGUAACACGUAAUCUACCCAAUCAAUGCCAAUAAAACAGAAGCCACAACUAUUAGCACGGAAACUCCUUCACAAUGUUUUUGUUAUAACACAAAUUUUCUAUACAAUCACCCAACAUUCAUGGUGUGUAAUUAUAAAAUUGGGGAAUAAAAGACAAAAUCAGCGAAGAUAUGCUAAACCAACAAAAGAUUGUCUAUCAUGUACAUAUCCUAAUUGCAGCCUAGAAAAAGAAGAAUCCCAAAAAGGAGCCUUCAUCAUUUGAACUGUGGUACUUUUCAAAACCACAAACUCAUGAAUAAAGCUCCCAAUUUCACUAGUAUUGUGACGGUUACUUCACUUACAUGAAUAUUCAACAAACUUGAAAUCCCCAUCUACAAUCACAUGGUUACCUACAGUAUGAUCAAUAUUAAAUGAAACGCAAUUAUACAUAACAAAUAUAUGGGGGGAAAAAAGCAAAAGAGAGAGAAAUGAAUGAAAUACAAUUGUACAUAAUUUCAAAUAAAAACAACAAUAAAUAAAUAAAUCAACUUCCAUUAGACCAAAAAUCGAUUACUUGUUCCAUCAAUCAUAACAACAUUCCAGAUAAGAUAAUACCCAAAUAUGACAAACAAAAAAUGCAGCAUGCAAAAGAAGUGAUUCAAUAAAAAAUGAGUUCCUAAGAAAUAUAGAAAGAAAAUUCGAGAAGCUUACAAGAGAGGUUUUGGUGAGGUUUUAGGGGAAUGAAAGGGGCCCAGUUCUUCUCUACUCACUUCUUCUACCCACAAUUGCUUUGAAGAAUGCGUUUGUUCAUAUAGAAAAAGAAAAAAGAGUCUGUUAAAAUAGGUUUAUUUUAUUAUUAUUAUUAUUAUUUUUAACAUAAAGUGUAUGGGAGAAGUUUAGUGCUUAUAAAUAUAUUUCACAUCACUGAGUAUAGCAGAAGCCUAACACUUGUAAAGGGUGAUUCACAACUUAUAAACAUAUUCUAUAUUACUCAGGUAUGAGAGAAGCCUAAUGCUUAUAAAGUGUUAUCCAUCCUAAUUGGAUUUGGCAUGCCAAAUCCACUAGUGUGCAUGCACAAUGUGCCCUCCUAUCACUGUCUUGGCCGAAUAUAAUUUGCUAUACUAAAACAUUACAUUACAACAACUAACAAUUAAGUGAUCUGAAAAUAGAGAAAACAACAAAUAAAAUAAAAAGAAACUAAUCACAAAAUUGGAGGCUUUCAAUGACAUAAUUAGUCCUUCUUCGAGAGCUUCAAAACAACAUGUCAUCUGUCUAAUUCUUACAUUUGUAUCCCAAAUUAUGACUCUUUGCAUCAGCAAAUCCUACAUGAUCAGAUGGGCAGUUAAUGUGAGUGGAGAAAUGAAAAGCUAAUAAUUGUACAAGAAUGCCACCAUACAACAACAAAUAUAGAGCAAAAUUUAACAAUAAAGAUAUAAAUAUGCAAUAAAUGGAAAAGCACUUACCAUAAGUUUUAUUCGAAUUUGUCUACUUGAAUAACCUUAAGAUUAGCAUCCAUCUCCAUACAUUUUUCUAUUUGAAUAACCUGUCGCUUCCCACAAUUUAUGACAAGCCUUCAUAUUAACUCAGCAAGGGCCGUUCAAACGAAAACAUUCUCGAGCCUUUGCAACUUCGACACAGCAGAACUUUAACUCUUCCAAAUUUCCACAACUCGAAAAACCUAGUUUUUCAAGAUGCUUCAACUCUGCCAAGGAAAAUGACUUUGGAUCAUCACAGCCUAUAUGCUCCAAGCAUUGUGUACAGCUUUGAUUCAUAACAGCAUUCCAGAUAAGAUAAUACCCAAAUACGACAAACAAAAAAUGCAGCAUGCAAAAGAAGUGAUUCAAUAAAAAAUGAGUUCCUAAGAAAUAUAGAAAGAAAAUCUGCUGUACCGUUUACAAGAGAGGUUUUGGUGAGGUUUUAGGGGAAUGAAAGGGGCUCAGUUCUUCUCUACUCACUUCUUCUCCCCACAGUUGCUUUGAAGAAUGCAUUUGUUCAUAUAGAAAAAGAAAAAAGAGUCUGUUAAAAUGGGUUUUUAUUAUUAUUAUUAUUAUUAUUAUUAUUAUUAUUUUUAACAUAAAGUGUAUGGGAGAAGUUUAGUGCUUAUAAAUAUAUUUCACAUCACUGAGUAUAGCAGAAGCCUAACACUUGUAAAGGGUGAUUCACAACUUAUAAACAUAUUCUAUAUUACUCAGGUAUGAGAGAAGCCUAAUGCUUAUAAAGUGUUAUCCAUCCUAAUUGGAUUUGGCAUGCCAAAUCCACUAGUGUGCAUGCACAAUGUGCCCUCCUAUCNNNNNNNNNNNNNNNNNNNNNNNNNNNNNNNNNNNNNNNNNNNNNNNNNNNNNNNNNNNNNNNNNNNNNNNNNNNNNNNNNNNNNNNNNNNNNNNNNNNNNNNNNNNNNNNNNNNNNNNNNNNNNNNNNNNNNNNNNNNNNNNNNNNNNNNNNNNNNNNNNNNNNNNNNNNNNNNNNNNNNNNNNNNNNNNNNNNNNNNNNNNNNNNNNNNNNNNNNNNNNNNNNNNNNNNNNNNNNNNNNNNNNNNNNNNNNNNNNNNNNNNNNNNNNNNNNNNNNNNNNNNNNNNNNNNNNNNNNNNNNNNNNNNNNNNNNNNNNNNNNNNNNNNNNNNNNNNNNNNNNNNNNNNNNNNNNNNNNNNNNNNNNNNNNNNNNNNNNNNNNNNNNNNNNNNNNNNNNNNNNNNNNNNNNNNNNNNNNNNNNNNNNNNNNNNNNNNNNNNNNNNNNNNNNNNNNNNNNNNNNNNNNNNNNNNNNNNNNNNNNNNNNNNNNNNNNNNNNNNNNNNNNNNNNNNNNNNNNNNNNNNNNNNNNNNNNNNNNNNNNNNNNNNNNNNNNNNNNNNNNNNNNNNNNNNNNNNNNNNNNNNNNNNNNNNNNNNNNNNNNNNNNNNNNNNNNNNNNNNNNNNNNNNNNNNNNNNNNNNNNNNNNNNNNNNNNNNNNNNNNNNNNNNNNNNNNNNNNNNNNNNNNNNNNNNNNNNNNNNNNNNNNNNNNNNNNNNNNNNNNNNNNNNNNNNNNNNNNNNNNNNNNNNNNNNNNNNNNNNNNNNNNNNNNNNNNNNNNNNNNNNNNNNNNNNNNNNNNNNNNNNNNNNNNNNNNNNNNNNNNNNNNNNNNNNNNNNNNNNNNNNNNNNNNNNNNNNNNNNNNNNNNNNNNNNNNNNNNNNNNNNNNNNNNNNNNNNNNNNNNNNNNNNNNNNNNNNNNNNNNNNNNNNNNNNNNNNNNNNNNNNNNNNNNNNNNNNNNNNNNNNNNNNNNNNNNNNNNNNNNNNNNNNNNNNNNNNNNNNNNNNNNNNAAUUUUAGGCAAAAGUUUCAAAAUCAUAGCUGUCAACAUUUCUACAUAUUUCCUACAUUUUUCUACAAACAUAAAUAAUUGAAUAAAAAAAUGAUCGGAAAACUAACCACUGGGGCAACUUCAAUGCCACCUUGGUUUCUCUGGUAUCCUAGAACUGUACAUGGCUCUGAAGAAUGAAACGAAGGUAACAGUACAAAAUCCGCCAUCUGGACAACUAAUAAAUCGUGAAAAUCAGCGACAAAGCUGGCACGGUGGCUCCCAUCAUCAAGAAUCGUUUAGUAAUGGCGUUUCAAUUAUACAGAGAUAGCUCAUCAUACCUUUGCUUUGCUCCUGCUCAAGUGAAAGGGGUGGUAUUUCGUACUGUUGUCAAUGGAAAUAACAUUUGUGCCACAAAAGUUUUGAGAAAUAACACAAAGAAGAUAGUUUAUAAUUACUUUUCAAACAGGUAUCUUUUAUUAGUGGAAGUGGCAAUUUGGGUUUUCUGUGCUGUGUUGUCUUCUUAUCAUGUCAAAAUUGAACCAACUAAACUUCUCCUUAUGUAAUAAUUAUAUCAAGAAUCUCAAUUCUUACAGAAAUCCAUUUAUUCUUGUGUCACCUAAUUAAUAAAAUAAUAAAAUUUUCUUCAUUAAAAUAAUAUUUUAACGUACUAUAUUCUUUUAGAAAUGAUGUACUAUCACCUACAAAACAUGACAAAUGUAACACAUAUCUAAUUGACUAAUAUAUAAUUUAAUAUUAAUUGAUUAAUUAAUCCUUCGUAAAACAAGUUAUCAUAUUAGCACGCUUAUGAUAAAUCGUUACAAUUCUUAUUCCAAUUGUUUAAUUUAAACAAUUCAUCAAAAAAGAUUUAGUAAAAAUUAUUUCUGCAUAACAUUCUUGAGAAAAAGAAAUUGAGUUCAAAAUUGAAAAACAAAGAAUAUUUGGAUUUGAAUUCACAUCCAACUCAAACGAAACAGCGAUAUUCAUAAAAAAAAAGUUUGAAUUCUCUUCCCCAAAAAAAAAUAAAUUAUGAGGUUGAUAAUAAAAAUUUUUACAGUAGCUUUCAGUAUUUUUAAGUUAUUAAUUUCCUGCAAAAAUCAUAUAAUACAACGUUCAUAAGCAAAUGCACAUAGUUGAAUCAACCAAAUCAGGGAGAAAAUACAAUACUUAAUUUGAAUGGCAAGCACGACUAACUAAUUUGCAAUUCAGCUCUGACUUGAAUUUUUUAAUAGGGAAUCACUUAGUAAUGACAAUAAAAAAUCCUUGCUUGUUCUUUUUUUUGGAAAAAAAUUUAAUAAUUAUCGAUAAUAAAAUAAUGAUAUCUCGUUCCUUUUUUACCCUCGCAACCUAAUAAAAUUUCCUUAUCUAAUACCCAUAUUAAAACGCACUUUCACUUUCCCUCUUCCAAUUUGGCGCGCGAUCUUCUCAAUUUCAAAAGCCAAAAGGUCAGUCAACUCUCUAAACCGUAAUUUUCUGUUUGUUUCCCGAGAAAAUCCAUGAAAAUGAACCGUUAAAAACAUAAAUAAUUGAAUAAAAAAAAAUGAUCGGAAAACUAACCACCGGGGCAACUUCAAUGCCACCUUGGUUUCUCUGGUAUCCUAGAACUGUACAUGGCUCUGAAGAAUGAAACGAAGGUAACAGUACAAAAUCCGCCAUCUGGACAACUAAUAAAUCGUGCAAAUCAGCGACAAAGCUGGCACGGUGGCUCCCAUCAUCAAGAAUCGUUUAGUAAUGGCGUUUCAAUUAUACAGAGAUAGCUCAUCAUACCUUUGCUUUGCUCCUGCUCAAGUGAAAGGGGUGGUAUUUCGUACUGUUGUCAAUGGAAAUAACAUUUGUGCCACAAAAGUUUUGAGAAAUAACACAAAGAAGAUAGUUUAUAAUUACUUUUCAAACAGGUAUCUUUUAUUAGUGGAAGUGGCAAUUUGGGUUUUCUGUGCUGUGUUGUCUUCUUAUCAUGUCAAAAUUGAACCAACUAAACUUCUCAAAAACUCCUUCACUGAUUAAAGUCCGCACAUCCCGUAGCUUUUUAGCCACUUUUUUCCCGAACUUGUAGCUUGACAUGCAAUUCUUGGAACAGUAGCCUCCAACACAUAAUUUUUCAAUUUCUCGAGAGCCGUCUGUGAUAAGUUCAUCGGCUUCAGUUUUAACAGAAUCCACCCUCGAAACCCACACUUGCACUCCGUCCAGCCUUCUCAUUUGUUGCCGUUCAGCAUCGACAACCCUCCUCAUCACAUCGUUCUUUCUAGCGAUCAGAUUUCCCAAUUCAGUCUCCAAGGCAUCAAGAUUAUCUUGGAGGUUACGUAUGUAUGCUGCUUUUCCAAGAAAGCAAUCCAAGCAACGAUUGAAAAAAGCACCAUCGCAUGUGAUCUGAAAAAUGCUACACAUCUUUGCAAUUUUGUUAAGAAAGAAAAUUGAUUGAGUUUGAUAAACUGAAGCUGCUGUAAUUGCCUGUGGAAGAUAAAUUUUAGUAAUGACCUCUGUUCGUUAUACGGGGAAAAUUUUAAAAUGAUUUAGGCACGCUCGAGUCGGGACCCACUGUAAACACGAACCUUUAGACAAAGAGCAUCGCACAUUCACACUUGCAAACACGAGUCUCUAACUUUUGAAGGAAAAACAGUUAGUAAUUAUCCUUUACCCACUGCCCCCGAAGAUAACAAUAACUCUUGAAUAAUGAUUAAUGAAUGACCCGAUUGUAAUUACCAAAAACUAGUUUUGAAAAAUAAUAAAACAAGAAUUUGAAAAAGACUAUUCGACUACUUUUUACUUGCGUUUAAUAAAAAGAGCCUAAUCGUCUGUCCUACUUCUAUUCAAAAGAAUCCACUUUUAAUUUGUAGUUUAGUAAGAGAAACCAGCUGGUUGAAAAUAAAUUGAAAAUUUAAUCUAUCUAAUAGAUUAGUAAUAUUAAUUUUUUUAAUAUUUGAAGUAAUUUCAAAAAUAUAAUUAUUAAUUUAUCAUAAAUAAAUCUUUAGGUUAAAUGGUAUUUUAAAUUAAUAAAAUAUGAAUAUCUCACAUAUUUUAUUAAAAUUAUUUUAUAUAAUACUUAAAAUACUCUAAAUUUUCUAUAUAUUCNNNNNNNNNNNNNNNNNNNNNNNNNNNNNNNNNNNNNNNNNNNNNNNNNNNNNNNNNNNNNNNNNNNNNNNNNNNNNNNNNNNNNNNNNNNNNNNNNNNNNNNNNNNNNNNNNNNNNNNNNNNNNNNNNNNNNNNNNNNNNNNNNNNNNNNNNNNNNNNNNNNNNNNNNNNNNNNNNNNNNNNNNNNNNNNNNNNNNNNNNNNNNNNNNNNNNNNNNNNNNNNNNNNNNNNNNNNNNNNNNNNNNNNNNNNNNNNNNNNNNNNNNNNNNNNNNNNNNNNNNNNNNNNNNNNNNNNNNNNNNNNNNNNNNNNNNNNNNNNNNNNNNNNNNNNNAGAGCAUGAUAACUUCCCAAGGUCAACUCCAAUACCUCUAAAUAUUUCAAACCGAGCAAUUCCUGUACUAAAACUUCACCCCCACCAAAUAAAACGCUGUCUUCUGGUGCUUCAUGAAAAAUGCCCAAGCCAGUAGCGAACAUUCUCAACACACGUAACCUUGAAGAAUUUGAUAUUAGUUGCCGUGGAAUUUUAUUUAAAUGCUGUGUCCACCUCAAAUUCAAACAUUUCAGAUUUACCAACUUCUUUAACUCUUCCGGUAACUCUGUUAUGCUGUUUUCUGAAAUAUCGAGAAGUUCUAGUGAUGAACCCAACUCUGACAUCCCAACAGGUAAUUUCAAAUUCGAACAGUUUGACAUCUUCAAAACUUUGAGAGAAGGCAUAAGUUGGAAGAAGCCAUCCGCGAUCAUCUCCAACUCCUGAUUAAAGUCAAGAAAUAAAGUGAGGAGAUGAGGGCAUGUGGGAACCUCUGCCAGAGUUUCAAUUUGGUUUUGCAUCAAUGACAAUCUUCUCACAUUUUCCCAUCCUUUAACACCCGGUGCCUCUUUUAAUCCAGCACCUGCACGAACCAAAAAGUUUCGCUUCUCCUUCUCAAUUUCACAAGUUAUCCAUAUAGCCAUAUCACGAAUAACGUCAUGCAUUUUUACUUCAUCAUCUUCCACCUCUUCUAAUAAACAUGCACGAACAAGAGUGUCCAAAAUGUCAUAUCCUUGGUUUUCUGCACCAAACCCUUCAGAUUCCCCAAAAAAUCCCUCGCCAAACCAACAAUCAAUCAAGUCCCAUUUAAGAAUGCCAUAAUCUUCAGGAUAUAAACAACAGUACAAGAAACAAGAUCUAACCGUAUCAUUCUGCAAACUAUCAUAGCUGAAUUUUAAAAGAGGAUACACCUCUUUUCCCAAACAUGCAAACUUUGAAGCUGAUCUCCUUAACUCUUCAAUUGCACGUCUCCACUGCUCCGCUUUCUUUCUGUAGGCCAUAGCUCGACCAAUAGUAAUAAGUGCGAGUGGCAAACCACCACACUCUUUGACCACAAUUUGGGCUAGCUCAACGAUAUCAUGAUGACUCUGAAGAGUUUCUUCCCCAACUUUUUCUCGAAACAGUUCCCAAGCAUCCUUUUCUGAUAAGCAUGCUACUUGAAACUUCCUGUCAACUUCCAUGCUACCACAAACAUCGAUGAAACGGGUUGUGAAUACGACUUUUGAG
Molecule: long non-coding RNA, 33953 nt
Filed under: Citrus sinensis (sweet orange)
Lineage: Eukaryota; Viridiplantae; Streptophyta; Magnoliopsida; Sapindales; Rutaceae
Description: long non-coding RNA (CSIN_LNC000219)
Source: RNAcentral